Molecule: unclassified non-coding RNA, 162 nt
Filed under: uncultured Fusarium
Lineage: Eukaryota; Fungi; Ascomycota; Sordariomycetes; Hypocreales; Nectriaceae
Description: sequence contains ITS2
Source: RNAcentral
CAACCCUCAAGGCCCCAGUGGCUUGGUGUUGGCGACGCGGCCGGUCUCAGCGCCGGCCGCCGCCGAAAUGCAGGGGCGGUCGCCUCGCGGCAACCAUUACGCAGUAGUAACAUCUCGUAACUGGGACGCGGGGCGGCCACGCCUAACCCACUCAUUUUUUAG